AUGGAGGAAAAGAAACCAACAGGGAUUCCCCUAGUAACGGCGAGUGAAGCGGGAACAGCUCAAAUUUGAAAUCUGGCCCUUGGGUCCGAGUUGUAAUUUGUAGAGGAUGCUUUUGGUGCGGUGCCUUCCGAGUUCCCUGGAACGGGACGCCUUAGAGGGUGAGAGCCCCGUACGGUUGGACGCCUAGCCUCUGUAAAGCUCCUUCGACGAGUCGAGUAGUUUGGGAAUGCUGCUCUAAAUGGGAGGUAUAUUUCUUCUAAAGCUAAAUACUGGCCAGAGACCGAUAGCGCACAAGUAGAGUGAUCGAAAGAUGAAAAGCACUUUGAAAAGAGGGUUAAAUAGCACGUGAAAUUGUUGAAAGGGAAGCGUUUAUCACCAGACUUUUUCUGGGGGGAUCAUCCGGUGUUCUCACCGGUGCACUUCCCCCAGUUGAGGCCAGCAUCGGUUUUCGGAGGGGGAUAAAAGCUUCGGGAAUGUGACUCCCUCGGGAGUGUUAUAGCCCGUUGCAUAAUACCCUUCUGGGGACCGAGGUUCGCGCAUCUGCAAGGAUGCUGGCAUAAUGGUGAUCAACGACCCGUCUUGA
This 583-nucleotide ribosomal RNA is filed under the name Nigrospora oryzae. RNAcentral's name for it is "eukaryotic LSU rRNA". It matches the Rfam family "Eukaryotic large subunit ribosomal RNA", at positions 50 to 657 of the family's 3401-position model. Lineage: Eukaryota; Fungi; Ascomycota; Sordariomycetes; Amphisphaeriales; Apiosporaceae. The record is from RNAcentral.